Felis catus (domestic cat) is the source of this 3912-nucleotide long non-coding RNA. RefSeq lists it as uncharacterized. The transcript has 4 exons. Lineage: Eukaryota; Metazoa; Chordata; Mammalia; Carnivora; Felidae. The record is from RefSeq and is a predicted model, not a curated record.
GAUCAACAGUAGGCUAUUAGUAAUUAAACUUUGAGGGAGUCAAAAGUUAUAUGUGGAUUUUCAACUGCACAAGGAGUCAAUACCCCUAAUCUCUACAUUGUUCAUGGGUCAACUAUAUACCCUAAAUUAUUUUUGGGUCCAUUCUCUCAAUCUCUAUACCUUCCCCCAAGCCCAUAGCCUGCCUGGUAGAGCAUUGUAUGCAUAGUAGACAUUUAGAAAAUUUACCAUUUCUUAGCCAACCCUACCCUCUGCUCCUUUGAGCUUUCUGAAACAUUAGACAUUCCUAUCUCCAAUCUCCUUGGUACUAGAAUUGGCACAUUUGCUAUACAUCAACACUUGGACAAAGACUAAUGGCAUCAUCUAGGGAAGAACAAGUAGCAGAUUCGUGAACUUCAUUUCUUUUCAGCCUUUUAUGCCAAGGCUAAUUGCUUGUUUAAGUAAAUGCAUCUGACUUGAAUAGCAAUUGAAGAUGUUUGGGGUAGUUUGAGUAUUGAAUUUCACAUGCAGUGACCAAGGCUAAGAAAAUACAGGUUAAUGUCCUGAAAACUUUUAAUCAAUACAGAGGCUUUUCCUUACAGAAAGAAAUUGGCCUUGGCAAUAGACAAAAUCAAGGGUCAGAAAUUGAAAUGCCCAUAGAGGUCAGACAGGUGACAGAAAUCAGUCAAGUAGGUGGGGAUUGUGGUGAAUUGGCCAGCCGCUCCUUACUUUGACUAUCGUCAUGGGGGGAAGGCAGGCCCAGGAUGGCCAGAUCACCCAAUUUUUAAAGCCAAUCUGAAAAUUCAAGUUUUAUUUAAAUGUGAUAUUUGAGUUUUAAUUAUUGACAGCUAAUUCAAGAAUAUGGAUUGCUCUCAAGGCUAUCAUUUUGUUUCCUCUAAGCUAAACAGAGACGAUUUAUGGAUUUUCCAAUUGUUCUAUCCUCACUACAGGAAUUAACCAUUAUUCCAUUCUGACCUGUGACAGCUGCAUCACAGGGUGUGAUGGGAAAUUACCUAGGGGACACCUGGGGCUGAGUUCUGAGUGAGCAUCAUCUAUUGAGCAGAAAAUCUGUUUGUAUGAGUGUCUCUGAAUAUAUUUGUUUCCUGUUAAAGUAGUGCUUCCUGUAAACAUGCUGCAUCUUGUGUUGGAAAUAGCUGGGAAAACUCCUCCUUUAGUGAGUGAGGGGCUAAUUAUUUAGUGACCUAUCCUCGGCCUCAGUUGAGACACUCCUCACAUGGUUGGGUAUGGUCCUGGUAAAACAAUGACACAGAUCAGAGGUUUCAUAGGACCUUGGGGAGCUAUAGCAUGGGACAGCUAGGAGAAUUCACAUCUUACCCCAAAGAAAAUCCCUACUCAUAGGGAUUUUGGUAAAUUGCAUCUACAGGUUAUUACAUUCAAGGUGAGCUUUGAGGUAUAAAUUUGUAGGAUGUUGUUCUCUACCUUCACACUGAUAACAAUUGAUCAACUGAUAAACAACCAUGCCCCUAUGUCCCCAGAAUGCUCCUUUGUUACUGUGGACACCUUGUUUCUUUCCCUGGAUUCCUCAGACCUCCUGCAAGAUCCAGGCACUACAGUGUUAACGCAUUUCCCUGUACAGCAAAGGGCAGGCUCUGUUCUCUUUGCUAGUGCCCAAGCCAUACCAGCUUAAAAUAUCUAACUGUUAUCUUGGAACACUUGAACUAGAAUGCCAGGACUCCAUAAAAAGCAACAUAGUUCAGAUAUUAGAAUGUUUUAUUCUUACUGCUUUCCUUCUGGUAGCCAUGGGCUAGCAGGAAGCCUGAGAUGAGUGGGAACAAGCAGCUCAAGGAACAGAACACAUAUUUCACUAAAAGCCAGAGGUCCUUUGUUCCAGUCCCAAUAUGUAGUAGAUGCCCUGAAGCAUAAAUUCGUGAGUUUCAUCUUGCAUUUUUCUAUUACUGGAAAAUUUCAACUGGCUAAUUUUAAAACAUAGAUUUCUGCGCCCGCCCCCCCCCCCCAAAUAUGCAGGCUCCGCACACAUACUCUGUGGUAGCUGCGAAACAGUUGGAGAAUUCCCCGUGUUCAGUGACCUCAAACUCACACUUCAAGCUGUGCUGUGGUUUCUUGCUAGUACAAUAAAACAUACAUGAGUUGUGACUGGCUGCAGAGUCAGGAGCGGGUGUUUCAGUGUUAAAUAAUCUGGCUCCAUUAAUUUUGGCGGUUGCUGUCCAUGUUUCUAUUUUUGUCCCCAGUUAGAACUGUCAAGAAAGGAGUCCACCAGACUUCCGCAAGUGCUUUUGUAAAAAUGUCAUUUGCCAAAUCAAAUGUCCGAGGCAGUGAUCACACUUUCACAGUUACACACGCCCAUCACGUGCUUUUCCAUAAAUGACUACCCGAGAGCCUGGGCAGAGAGCAGAGAUGAGGGGCGCGGAGUGAGAGAGACAGUAAUGAGGAGACAGAGCCUGGCUUUCACAAACAAGCCUUUCCCCUAAUUGCUCCCUCCUGUUGCAGCCACCACGGCAGCAGCAGCAGCCUCUGACCUCAGCUGCUGUGGUCUCCCCGGGCGAUGAGAAACCCUGCAAGAGCAGAGAGAGGAGCAGGGCCAACACAGGCAUGCAGAACAUCCCUCAUCUGAUAACCAAUCAAAAUCACAUGUUGUAGUUUCGAGAUUGUCAGGGGUUGAAUUGUGCCCCCACCAUAUUCGUGUUGGAAUCCUAACCCUGGUACCUGAGAAUGUGACCUUAUUAGGAAUUAGGGCAUUGCAGGUGUAAUUAGUUAAGAGGAGGUCAAACUGGAGUAGGUGGGCCUUUGAUCCAAAUGACUGGCGUCCUUAUAAAAAGAGGAGAUUUGGACACAGACACACAGAGGCGGCGUGUCAUGUGAUGAUGGUGGUUGAGACUGGAGGCAUGCAUCAGUAAGUCAAAGAACACCAAGGGUUGCAGGAAACCACCAGAAUUUAAGGAAAGACAAGGAAGGGUUCUCCUCUACAAGUUUGAGAGGGAAUGUGGCCCUGAAGACACUGUGAUUUCAGACUUGUAGCCUCUGGAACUGUGACAUAAUAGAUUUCUGCUGCUUGAAGCCACCCACUUUGUUUUGGACACCAUUGGAUACUAAUACAGAGACCAUGCCUCAAUUUUUGCGUCAGGAGGCAAAGUUUUGAAUUUAAGCGUCUGUUCUACUUAGAGUGCUCCAAAUAUCUGAAUUCAGGGGAAUAACGUCUGUUGAUAUUAUCAACUGUGAUGUUGAUAUUUUCCUACCUGUAGAACUCCCAUCAGAGGGGCAUGAAAGCUCAGAGAUUGAGAACGUGAGCCAUGGGGUCAUUCAUGGGCUUGAUCACUUAGGGGCUGUGUGAUCCUGAGAAUGUUACUCAAUCUCUUUACUUUUUAGGUUCAUCAUCUGUAAAAUGAGAUACUAAUAGUGUCUUCCUCACCUGAUGUUUCAUAAGGAUUUAGUGAGAUGAGGAAAUCGAGGCUCAAGUGAUCUACCCAAGAUUUCACAUUUCCUGGUGACUCCCUAUUUAAGCUCAGCUCCAGAAAUGCUUGCUUGAGGAAAUGCUGCUAGAACCCAGGACUCCAGGAGAGAAUAAGAAACACACGUGCAUUCCCGUUGCCAAAAACCAUUGCUUUGCAGCUGCAGUACAAAAACAGGGACGCGUGUAACUCAAAAUGUUUUCCUGCCGUGAUGGAGAAGAUGAGGCAUUAUCAAGACUAACACUACAAUUUAACGCUUCAGAGGAGCAGUGUAUAUCAUUACUCCCUCUGUAGCCAAGCACACUAAUUAAUAUUUAUUGCACCUGUCAAGCCAGUAGCCACGGCCAAUCCAUUCCUGUGGCAGUUCAAUGGGAGACUGGACACCAUAUUUCUCCUUGGCAGACACGUUUGGGUCAUCAGCAAAGACAGAAGCCCCUUUCCCCAGUGAGACAUCGUAAACGCUCUCUUUGCUCUUGCAAAAUUAAACCAUUAAUUCUUUUCGCGUUAA